UACGUAGGCAGCAAGCGUUGUUCGGAGUUACUAGGCGUAAAGGGUGCGUAGGCGGGCAUGUAAGUCAGUGGUGAAAUCUUCAAGCUUAACUUGGAAACUGCCAUUGAUACUAUGUGUCUUGAAUGUUCUGGAGGUUAGCGGAAUAUGUCAUGUAGCGGUGAAAUGCUUAGAUAUGACAUAGAACACCUAUUGCGAAGGCAGCUAACUACGGAAAUAUUGACGCUGAGGCACGAAAGCGUGGGGAUCAAACAGG
Molecule: ribosomal RNA, 253 nt
Filed under: uncultured bacterium
Lineage: Bacteria
Description: partial 16S ribosomal RNA
Rfam family: Bacterial small subunit ribosomal RNA
Source: RNAcentral